RNAcentral lists this transfer RNA (74 nucleotides) under Candidatus Moduliflexus flocculans. Its description in RNAcentral is "tRNA-Arg(ccg)". It matches the Rfam family "tRNA". Rfam says of the family: Transfer RNA (tRNA) molecules are approximately 80 nucleotides in length. Lineage: Bacteria; Candidatus Moduliflexota; Candidatus Moduliflexia; Candidatus Moduliflexales; Candidatus Moduliflexaceae. The record is from RNAcentral.
NGCCCCCAUAGCUCAGGGGAUAGAGCAUUGGUCUCCGGAACCAUGUGCGGAGGUUCGAGUCCUCCUGGGGGCAU